GGCUACACACGUGCUACAAUGGGUAGAACAGAGAGUCGCAAAGCUGUGAAGUGGAGCUAAUCUCAGAAAACUAUUCUUAGUUCGGAUUGUACUCUGCAACUCGAGUACAUGAAGUUGGAAUCGCUAGUAAUCGCGAAUCAGCAAUGUCGCGGUGAAUACGUUCUCGGGUCUUGUACACACCGUCCGUCACACCACGAGAGUUGGUUGCACCUGAAGUAGCAGGCCUAACCGUAAGGAGGGAUGCUCCGAGGGUGUGAUUAGCGAUUGGGGUGAAGUCGUAACAAGGUAUCCGUACGGGAACGU
Molecule: ribosomal RNA, 303 nt
Filed under: uncultured Fusobacterium sp.
Lineage: Bacteria; Fusobacteriati; Fusobacteriota; Fusobacteriia; Fusobacteriales; Fusobacteriaceae
Description: bacterial SSU rRNA
Rfam family: Bacterial small subunit ribosomal RNA
Source: RNAcentral